AGGUAAUUCUUUCUAAAACCUUUAUGUUAUGGCGGCCCAUUUUCUUUUUAGAGGAACUUGUUAAAUAAUCGUUAAUACCCGAUCAAUUUUUCUAAAUUUACUAAUUUCUAUAUCGCUGUCUAAAGAAUAACCUCAUUUUUUUAUUCUAAAUAGAUUUUCAAAGUCAAGUCAAGGUGGAGUCUAUAUCUUAGUUCUUUUCAAGUUACUUAUUCUUGAAAUUUUUAGAAAAAUAUCUAAAGAUCAUUUAGAAAUAGGAUUUAAUAGUAAGAACAAAACAAAAAUUUAUCCUGAAUAAGAUAAUUAGGUGUAC
RNAcentral lists this ribosomal RNA (310 nucleotides) under Segregara abrahami. Its description in RNAcentral is "partial 12S ribosomal RNA". The record is from RNAcentral. Lineage: Eukaryota; Metazoa; Arthropoda; Arachnida; Araneae; Idiopidae.